AUAAGAGCUUUCUGAAGCGCUGUGUUCCGAUGAGCUGUUGUUCUGGGGAGCUGGAGAAGAUCAUCUGUAUCAUGUCCUCAGAAAUAACACUUCCCUGUAAUACGAUGGAAAGACACAAAAGGUAUCCACUGUCCAACAUCCCAUCAUCCUCCAGUGUUCCAUCCUCCUCCACUGUGGCCACAUUUCUGCGCUUGAACAGCUGUUAGAACACAUAAACUGUGCUCAAUAAAAAUACCGACAUGCGUCACA
Cyprinus carpio (common carp) is the source of this 249-nucleotide long non-coding RNA. RefSeq lists it as uncharacterized. The record is from RefSeq and is a predicted model, not a curated record. NCBI's taxonomy places the organism in Eukaryota, Metazoa, Chordata, Actinopteri, Cypriniformes, Cyprinidae.